AAAGAAAAUUCGAUUCCCUUAGUAGCGGCGAGCGAAACGGGAAGAGCCCAAACCAACAAGCUUGCUUGUUGGGGUUGUAGGACACUCUAUACGGAGUUACAAAGGACGACAUUAGACGAAUCAUCUGGAAAGAUGAAUCAAAGAAGGUAAUAAUCCUGUAGUCGAAAAUGUUGUCUCUCUUGAGUGGAUCCUGAGUACGACGGAACACGUGAAAUUCCGUCGGAAUCUGGGAGGACCAUCUCCUAAGGCUAAAUACUCUCUAGUGACCGAUAGUGAACCAGUACCGUGAGGGAAAGGUGAAAAGCACCCCGGAAGGGGAGUGAAAUAGAACCUGAAACCGUGUGCUUACAAGUAGUCAGAGCCCGUUAAUGGGUGAUGGCGUGCCUUUUGUAGAAUGAACCGGCGAGUUACGAUUUGAUGCAAGGUUAAGCAGUAAAUGUGGAGCCGUAGCGAAAGCGAGUCUGAAUAGGGCGUUUAGUAUUUGGUCGUAGACCCGAAACCAGGUGAUCUACCCUUGGUCAGGUUGAAGUUCAGGUAACACUGAAUGGAGGACCGAACCGACUUACGUUGAAAAGUGAGCGGAUGAACUGAGGGUAGCGGAGAAAUUCCAAUCGAACCUGGAGAUAGCUGGUUCUCUCCGAAAUAGCUUUAGGGCUAGCCUCAAGUGAUGAUUAUUGGAGGUAGAGCACUGUUUGGACGAGGGGCCCCUCUCGGGUUACCGAAUUCAGACAAACUCCGAAUGCCAAUUAAUUUAACUUGGGAGUCAGAACAUGGGUGAUAAGGUCCGUGUUCGAAAGGGAAACAGCCCAGACCACCAGCUAAGGUCCCAAAAUAUAUGUUAAGUGGAAAAGGAUGUGGCGUUGCCCAGACAACUAGGAUGUUGGCUUAGAAGCAGCCAUCAUUUAAAGAGUGCGUAAUAGCUCACUAGUCGAGUGACACUGCGCCGAAAAUGUACCGGGGCUAAACAUAUUACCGAAGCUGUGGAUUGUCCUUUGGACAAUGGUAGGAGAGCGUUCUAAGGGCGUUGAAGCAUGAUCGUAAGGACAUGUGGAGCGCUUAGAAGUGAGAAUGCCGGUGUGAGUAGCGAAAGACGGGUGAGAAUCCCGUCCACCGAUUGACUAAGGUUUCCAGAGGAAGGCUCGUCCGCUCUGGGUUAGUCGGGUCCUAAGCUGAGGCCGACAGGCGUAGGCGAUGGAUAACAGGUUGAUAUUCCUGUACCACCUAUAAUCGUUUUAAUCGAUGGGGGGACGCAGUAGGA
This 1258-nucleotide ribosomal RNA is filed under the name Staphylococcus aureus. Its description in RNAcentral is "partial 23S ribosomal RNA". It matches the Rfam family "Bacterial large subunit ribosomal RNA", at positions 222 to 1482 of the family's 2925-position model. The record is from RNAcentral. Lineage: Bacteria; Bacillati; Bacillota; Bacilli; Caryophanales; Staphylococcaceae.